CCUACGGGAGGCAGCAGUGAGGAAUAUUGGUCAAUGGCCGGAAGGCUGAACCAGCCAUGCCGCGUGAAGGUCAGUGCCCUUUGGGCGUUAAACUUCUUUUUUCCGGGAGCAUUAAUGCUCCCGUUUGGCCAGACGAGAGUACCGUACGAAUAAGCAUCGGCUCACUCCGUGCCAGCAGCCGCGGGAAUACGGGGGGUGCAAGCGUUAUCCGGAUUUAAUGGGUUUAAAGGGUGGGUAGGCUGUGAGGUAAGUCAGCGGUGAAAUGCCCCCGUUCAACGGGGUGAAGUGCCAUUGAUACUGGCAGGCUGGAAUGCGGAUGCGGUGGGAGGAAUGUGUGGUGUAGCGGUGAAAUGCAUAGAUAUCACACAGAACACCGAUUGCGAAGGCAUCUCACGAAACCGCGAUUGACGCUGAUGCACGAAAGCGUGGGUAUCAAACAGGAUUAGAUACCCCUGUAGUC
This 460-nucleotide ribosomal RNA is filed under the name uncultured bacterium. RNAcentral describes it as "partial 16S ribosomal RNA". It matches the Rfam family "Bacterial small subunit ribosomal RNA", at positions 338 to 795 of the family's 1533-position model. The record is from RNAcentral.